GACAGAGGUGCCAAGCGUUAGGCGGAAUCACUGGGCUUAAAGCGUGUGUAGGCGGAUCGUUAAGUGCUUUGUGAAAUCCCACAGCUCAACUGUGGAACUGCUUGGCAUACUGGCGAUCUUGAGCCAUCUAGGGGUUGCUGGAACAAACGGUGGAGCGGUGAAAUGCGUAGAUAUCGGGAGGAACACCUGUGGCGAAAGCGGCGCACUGGACCAUAACUGACGCUGAGGCGCGAAAGCUAGGGGAGCAAACAGG
Molecule: ribosomal RNA, 253 nt
Filed under: uncultured bacterium
Lineage: Bacteria
Description: partial 16S ribosomal RNA
Rfam family: Bacterial small subunit ribosomal RNA
Source: RNAcentral